Molecule: long non-coding RNA, 393 nt
Filed under: Zalophus californianus (California sea lion)
Lineage: Eukaryota; Metazoa; Chordata; Mammalia; Carnivora; Otariidae
Description: lncRNA (ENSZCAG00015024859.1)
Source: RNAcentral
GGCGGAGCCGGGAAGCGUUUCCGGGGGCGGGAGGCGCAGGCUGAGGCGGUCGCGGCGGCGACGGCUUGAACGGGCCUGACGCCGGUGGUGGAAAGUGUCCUGCGGGCGGGUUAUGUGAGCGCGGAGCCCUUAGCAGAAGUCAGUGCAAUUUUAAUUUGAAACAAAACUGAGAAUGGGUUCCCCUUCCUCAUUCAUCCAUACUGCUUUGUGAUGGCCAUGGCAUAACGGGCUUUUCCCAGGAAUACAGCUUUGCAUUAGCUUUAUCUUCGGAUUGAGUUCAUUUAAUAACAGGGACGAUAUUUACUAUGCUCUUUGGUCUAUAAACAACUUGGAGACCAUCAGAUAGAAGGAAUACCUUGCCUUCCCACUUAAUUCUGCUUCACAUCAGAGGCU